RNAcentral lists this ribosomal RNA (459 nucleotides) under uncultured bacterium. RNAcentral describes it as "partial 16S ribosomal RNA". It matches the Rfam family "Bacterial small subunit ribosomal RNA", at positions 338 to 795 of the family's 1533-position model. The record is from RNAcentral.
CCUACGGGGGGCUGCAGUGAGGAAUAUUGGUCAAUGGCCGGAAGGCUGAACCAGCCAAGCCGCGUGAAGGACGAAGGUGCCAAGCAUUGUAAACUUCUUUUGUCAAGGGACAAAAUCAGGCUCGAGCGCCUGACCGAGGGUACUUGAAGAACAAGCAUCGGCUAACUCCGUGCCAGCAGCCGCGGUAAUACGAAGGAUGCGAGCGUUAUCCGGAUUUAUUGGGUUUAAAGGGUGCGUAGGCGGACUGUUAAGUCAGCGGUAAAAGCCCGGGGCUAAACCCCGGCGAGCCGUUGAAACUGGCUAUCUUGAGAGGUCGAGAGGUAGGCGGAAUGCGCAGUGUAGCGGUGAAAUGCGUAGAUAUUGCGCAGAACACCGAUGGCGAAGGCAGCAUACCGGCGGCGAUCUGACGCUGAGGCACGAAAGCGUGGGGAUCGAACAGGAUUAGAUACCCCUGUAGUC